RNAcentral lists this ribosomal RNA (634 nucleotides) under Scurria plana. RNAcentral describes it as "partial 16S ribosomal RNA". It matches the Rfam family "Bacterial large subunit ribosomal RNA", at positions 1816 to 2601 of the family's 2925-position model. The record is from RNAcentral. Lineage: Eukaryota; Metazoa; Mollusca; Gastropoda; Acmaeidae.
GGCCCCCCGCCGCACAACAAUCAUGGGGGGUCACACCUGCACAAUGCCCUACGGGGUCAAUUGCCGCGGUAACCUGACCGUGCAAAGGUAGCAUAAUCAUUUGCCUAUUAAUUGUUGGCUUGUAUGAAUGGUUCGACGCUGGUGGCACUGUCUCGGCAACAAUUAUUUGAAUUUAACCUCCUGGUGAAAAGGCCAGGAUUUUAUUGAAAGACGAUUAGACCCUGUCGAACUUCAGGUAGAGUGGGGUAACUGGCGGUCAAGGCUGAGCGGUUUACCCCUUAAACCUUUGGUUGGGGAAACCGGGGGUAAUAAAAAUCACCCCCUCCUUGCUAUAAAACACCCGUCAUGUGAGGAGUUAUUGACGACUUAACUUCAUAGGGAAUUGGCCUUUUAGGACAGUUACCUGUUUUUAUAGAUUAAAGGCUUGACAAAGCAUAGCUUACUUAUUGAAUGAACCUAAAGACCUUUUUAAGGGAAGCUGUUAAAAAGGAAGAGUUACCGCAGGGAUAACAGCGUUAUCCUCCCGGCGAGACCACAUUAAGGGGAGGGUUUGCGACCUCGAUGUUGGCUCAGGGCCUCCUAGAAGUGCAGGGGCUUCUAAGGGUUGGUCUGUUCGACCAUUAAAGCCCUACGU